CUCCUGUACUCUCUCCAUAGUUUGGAGACGUCAGUGAAUAGGAAGCAGAGAGAUGGAUCCGUACCCUUCGUCCUCAGCGCUAAUAGCCCAGAAAACCUGGGAACUCGAGAACAAUGUAAUCACCGUGGACACGCCCCCAACCUCCACCAAUUCGACGGCGGACGCCUCGUCAGACGCCAUUUUCUACUACGAUGAGACGGCGCAAGCUAAGUUCCAGCAGGACAGGCC
Molecule: unclassified non-coding RNA, 228 nt
Filed under: Hevea brasiliensis (rubber tree)
Lineage: Eukaryota; Viridiplantae; Streptophyta; Magnoliopsida; Malpighiales; Euphorbiaceae
Source: RNAcentral